CCCUCCGGGGACGCACGCUCGCAUGAGCCCUAUUUUGUGAUAAGACCACACAUUCCACAUGGUGGUCAAAAUGGUGGAAGCAGUUCGAGUCCUUCGGUGUGUUCCACUGAAGUUGACUCCUGCUCGAGGGAAGGGAGCGCUCCGCCAGAAGUCCUAACAGCUUCCAGUGCGGAGCCGGGAUGUUUCUAGAUGUUUCUAGAAGCUUUUGAUGUUUAUAGAAGUUUCAAGAUGUUUCGAAUUUGAAGUUUUAAAAUGAUGCUGUGGGAUCUGUCCCACGUCAUCUGCACUGGCCGGCUCCAACCAGGUUAGCAGUCAGCUUCCCGGGGAUAGGCGAGGUCACUCCCCGCCGCUCCAGGUCCGGUAGCAGUUUUUGAGGUCGGUCUGAUGCAUCUUUAAUUUUUAAAUUGCGUCUGCGCUCGGCUACAAAUUUAAAAUGUGAUUUAGAGCAAUAGUUAUUUUAAUUUAAAGUUUUGAAAGUUCUGGUGCAUAAAACUUAGGUAUUUCGAAAUUUAGUCUUUAGUAAUUAAUUAAUUGGUGUAAACCUUAUGACAUGAACCUGUGAAGCGACCCAGCUAUACCACUGAGCUUUUACACUAUAACUUUAGGUUAAUAAAGUUUGUUAGAUUUAAA
This is a long non-coding RNA of Cydia fagiglandana, 630 nucleotides long. RefSeq lists it as uncharacterized. Lineage: Eukaryota; Metazoa; Arthropoda; Insecta; Lepidoptera; Tortricidae. The record is from RefSeq and is a predicted model, not a curated record. The transcript has 3 exons.